RNAcentral lists this ribosomal RNA (830 nucleotides) under uncultured fungus. RNAcentral describes it as "SSU rRNA". It matches the Rfam family "Eukaryotic small subunit ribosomal RNA", at positions 564 to 1425 of the family's 1831-position model. Lineage: Eukaryota; Fungi. The record is from RNAcentral.
GUGCCAGCAGCCGCGGUAAUUCCAGCUCCAAUAGCGUAUAUUAAAGUUGUUGUGGUUAAAAAGCUCGUAGUUGAACCUUGGGCCUGGCUGGCCGGUCCGCCUCACCGCGUGCACUGGUCCGGCCGGGCCUUUCCCUCUGUGGAACCCCAUACCCUUCACUGGGCGUGGCGGGGAAACAGGACAUUUACUUUGAAAAAAUUAGAGUGCUCCAGGCAGGCCUAUGCUCGAAUACAUUAGCAUGGAAUAAUAAAAUAGGACGCGCGGUUCUAUUUUGUUGGUUUAUAGGACCGCCGUAAUGAUUAAUAGGGACAGUCGGGGGCAUCAGUAUUCAACUGUCAGAGGUGAAAUUCUUGGAUCAGUUGAAGACUAACUACUGCGAAAGCAUUUGCCAAGGAUGUUUUCAUUAAUCAGGAACGAAAGUUAGGGGAUCGAAGACGAUCAGAUACCGUCGUAGUCUUAACCAUAAACUAUGCCGACUAGGGAUCGGACGGUGUUAUUCAUGACCCGUUCGGCACCUUACGAGAAAUCAAAGUGCUUGGGCUCCAGGGGGAGUAUGGUCGCAAGGCUGAAACUUAGAGAAAUUGACGGAAGGGCACCACCAGGGGUGGAGCCUGCGGCUUAAUUUGACUCAACACGGGGAAACUCACCAGGUCCAGACACAAUAAGGAUUGACAGAUUGAGAGCUCUUUCUUGAUUUUGUGGUGGUGUGCAUGGCCGUUCUUAGUUGGUGGGGUGACUUGUCUGCUUAAUUGCGAUAACGAACGAGACCUUAACCUGCUAAAUAGCCCGCAUUGCUCCGGCAGUGCGCUGGCUUCUUAGAGGGACUUUCG